RNAcentral lists this ribosomal RNA (253 nucleotides) under uncultured bacterium. RNAcentral's name for it is "partial 16S ribosomal RNA". It matches the Rfam family "Bacterial small subunit ribosomal RNA", at positions 524 to 776 of the family's 1533-position model. The record is from RNAcentral.
UACGGAGGGAGCUAGCGUUGUUCGGAAUUACUGGGCGUAAAGCGCGCGUAGGCGGCUUUGUAAGUUAGAGGUGAAAGCCCGGGGCUCAACCCCGGAACAGCCUUUAAGACUGCAUCGCUAGAAUCCGGGAGAGGUGAGUGGAAUUCCGAGUGUAGAGGUGAAAUUCGUAGAUAUUCGGAAGAACACCAGUGGCGAAGGCGGCUCACUGGACCGGUAUUGACGCUGAGGCGCGAAAGCGUGGGGAGCAAACAGG